This 64-nucleotide transfer RNA is filed under the name Opistholeptus burmanus. Its description in RNAcentral is "tRNA-Glu". It matches the Rfam family "tRNA". From Rfam's summary of the family: Transfer RNA (tRNA) molecules are approximately 80 nucleotides in length. Their secondary structure includes four short double-helical elements and three loops (D, anti-codon, and T loops). Lineage: Eukaryota; Metazoa; Arthropoda; Insecta; Hemiptera; Pachygronthidae. The record is from RNAcentral.
ACUUUCAUAGUUUAAAAAAAACAUUUCAUUUUCAAUGAAAAAACAAGAGAAGUCUUUGUAAGUA